UAUCAAAAGCGAUGCCCCGGGAUUCUGC
This 28-nucleotide non-coding RNA is filed under the name Mus musculus (house mouse). Lineage: Eukaryota; Metazoa; Chordata; Mammalia; Rodentia; Muridae. The record is from RNAcentral.